This 435-nucleotide ribosomal RNA is filed under the name Triticum aestivum (bread wheat). Its description in RNAcentral is "partial small subunit ribosomal RNA". Lineage: Eukaryota; Viridiplantae; Streptophyta; Magnoliopsida; Poales; Poaceae. The record is from RNAcentral.
AUGUGUUUCUUCAACAAUUUGCUUAAACAGUUACACGCUUGUGCUUCCACACUGUAUUCUAUUUGCUUCAUUUCCAUGUUUCAUAUUGUUAUUAGGCGUUCUACUCAUAGUCAAAUCAAACAAUUCGUGCUUCAUAAAUUUCUGCAAUUGCUGCGGGAGCGGAAGAAAUGCGUUUCCUAUGGUGAGCAUGGAGCGGUAGUCGAUGGUGGGCAUGACCCGUGGAAUGAAAUUGAGCAUCUCAGUGGCUACUGUGCUAGUCAUUGUCUUGGAAGCAUUGUAGCAAAGAUGCACACUCGCCUGUUGCGGGUUAAGAGUGUUGCCCCCUCCAUGGUGGCAUCUUCGUUGUUCAUCACUGGACUCCCCUGCGGCUCAAUGACACCGACAUCCAGUGACUUGCGGGUGAAACCGACUUUGUUGAGGCUAGGUCGGACAUGA